This 874-nucleotide ribosomal RNA is filed under the name uncultured organism. RNAcentral describes it as "bacterial SSU rRNA". It matches the Rfam family "Bacterial small subunit ribosomal RNA", at positions 24 to 886 of the family's 1533-position model. The record is from RNAcentral.
UCAGAACGAACGCUGGCGGCGCGUUUUAAGCAUGCAAGUCGAACGGUAAGCAUCCUUCGGGAUGCCUAGAGUGGCGAACGGGUGAGUAACACGUAGGUGAUCUGCCCUUGAGUUGGGGAUAGCCCAUGGAAAUGUGGGUAUACCGAAUACUGUUCUCCCUGAUACUGUGGUAACGGGAAGAAAAGCGCUUCGGCGCUGCUUGAGGAUGAGCCUGCGGCUGAUUAGUUAGUUGGUGGGGUAACGGCCUACCAAGGCGACGACUCAGUAGCCGGCCUGAGAGGGUGAGCGGCCACACUGGGACUGAGAUACGGCCCAGACUCCUACGGGAGGCAGCAGCUAAGAAUCUUCUACAAUGGACGAAAGUCUGAUAGAGCGACGCCGCGUGGGUGAUGAAGGCCGGAAGGUUGUAAAGCCCUUUUCUAUUCGAGGAAUAACCUCAGGAGGCAAUGCCUGAGGGAUGACGGUAGGGUAGGAAUAAGCCCCGGCCAAUUACGUGCCAGCAGCCGCGGUAACACGUAUGGGGCGAGCGUUGUUCGGAAUCAUUGGGCGUAAAGGGCGCGUAGGCGGAUAUGCAAGCUUGGUGUGAAAGACCGCAGCUCAACUGCGGGAGCGCGCUGAGAACUGCGUAUCUAGAGUUCAAGAGGGGAAGCUGGAAUUCCAGGUGUAGGGGUGAAAUCUGUAGAGAUCUGGAAGAACAUCAGUGGCGAAGGCGAGCUUCUGGCUCUGAACUGACGCUGAGGCGCGAAAGCGUGGGGAGCGAACAGGAUUAGAUACCCUGGUAGUCCACGCUGUAAACGAUGUGCACUAGGUGUUGGGCCGUUGAAGGCUCAGUGCCGUAGCCAACGCGUUAAGUGCACCGCCUGGGGAGUAUGCU